This 1207-nucleotide ribosomal RNA is filed under the name Metschnikowia hamakuensis. Its description in RNAcentral is "small subunit ribosomal RNA". Lineage: Eukaryota; Fungi; Ascomycota; Pichiomycetes; Serinales; Metschnikowiaceae. The record is from RNAcentral.
UAAAUAAAUAUAUCCCGAUCAGGUUCCCCUAACCGAACCGUAUUUCAACUUACAGCAAGUCCUUUAAAUAUAAACUCAAUAAGUAAAAAUUAAAUUUCUUGCUGUUGAUGAGUGGUUAGUACGAAGUAGCAAAAAAUUUCACCGUAACUCUAUUGUUUACGAUUACUAGCAAUUCCUCCUUUAUGUUACCGAAUUACAGAUAACAAUCCAUAAAUGAAACUAUGUCUUUUUCUUAAUAUUUAAUAUAACUUAAUAUAAUUAAUUUAAUUGUUAUUAAUAUUGUAACACGUCGAUAGCCCAUCUCAUUAGGGUCAUCAUGAUUAGUCUUCUACCUCUACUUCCUAUAAUCUUACAAUUAUACUUAUCAUAAAGAAAAGGGUUACGUUCAUUCAAUAACUUAAUAUUAAACCUCACGGCAUGAACUGACGACAACGAUGUAACGCCUGUUAAAUAUUCAAGAGAUGGUAAGGUUUUUGGAGGAUCAUCCAAUUAAAUGACAUGUUCCACUGCUUGGGACUACAACCGUCUAAUGUCUUGUAUUUCACCCUUGCGAGCGUACUAGUCAGGCGGAAUACUAUUCAUUUUCAAUUUUCUUUUUAUUGUAUUCAUUGUUUACUGCUACGACUAAAUGGGUAUCGAAUCCAUGUCGCUACCGUAGCCUUCAUCUCACAACGUCAAUAAUUUUAAGUAAUCUCUUUAUAGUCUUAAUUUUUUCUUCGGAUUUUAUCCCUCUAACUUUAAUUCUUAUUACCCUUUUAUUAUUCUAUAUAAAUUAAUACGUUCUACAGAUCCUUUAAGCCAUUCUGAUCAAUGCUUGCCCUCUAUGUCUAACCGCAGCUGCUGGCACAUAUUUUAGUUAGGACUCAUUCAUAAUUAGUAUCAUUAUUACUAUUAUUUUGAAAUUUAUAGUUUAUCUUUUAUUAGUUCCUUUUUUUUAAUAAUUUUCUCAUAGAUAACUUGAUCAGUCGUUAGACCAUUGUCAAAGAUUCCCCACUGCUGCUCUUUAUAAGAGUUGAUUUUUAUCAAUGUGGCCGUUGUGACUUUUAUCGUCGGCUUCAGUUCCAUGGCUAGAAAUAUCUAUUACCUACAUCUGUAUAAGAUUUAUUUUUUAUCUUAUUAUACUCACCUUAACGCUUAAUUUCUUAACUUGCAUGUGUUAUGUCUCUAUAUAGCAUUAGAUCUGAACCAACAUCAUGUUCUCUUAAUU